Molecule: long non-coding RNA, 1947 nt
Organism: Ooceraea biroi (clonal raider ant)
Lineage: Eukaryota; Metazoa; Arthropoda; Insecta; Hymenoptera; Formicidae
Source: RefSeq, a predicted model, not a curated record
UUCCACCCAUUAUACAAUUGAUGGUUGCCUUACGAUUCUAUGCAACAGGAUCCUUUUUUCAAACUAUUGGAGAUUUUUGUGGUGUAAGCACAUCAAGUGCUCAGAGAAUUGUCCAUCGUGUUUCUUGUGCUAUUGCUGCAUUAAGGAAGGAUGUUACAGAAACAACCGAACAACAACAACCGUUACCGAUAUCGAUCGGGCGACUUAGGGCGGUCGAUAACCAAUCGAUCUCGUUAGAGUUUCGGACGAGAGAGGGUGCGCUGCUAGAGCGUUUUUUGGGUGCGCUGCGCGAAUUUUCUUGUCGUGACUUCUUUGUGGGACAAAGGUUGCAAGUGCGUUCUCUCUGCGAGAGAAAGGACGACGGGAUUUCUACAGGGUAGUGGGCCCUGCGGUUAUCACUCCUGACCGUGUCAGCGAGACACCCCUUCGAUUGCGAUCCCUCAGUGCGAGGCUUCUGUUGUCAUCUCUCAGGGCGAGACGAGGUUAAGCGGGUGAGCUUUACAACACGAAAACAGAAGUGAGUACGUAUUUUUUCGGCCUUGAUCAAGCCGAAGCCCUCCUCAGGGUGAUAGUGUCUCACUGAGACGCUUUUUUCCUACGCUACGGAUUGCUUGCGUCAGUGAGACGCGUGGUUGUGUCAGUGAGACACUUUUAUUUCUCAAAAUUUGAGUCGUGUCAGUAAGACACGUUUUACGUGCAACAUUGCUCGUGUCAGUGAGACACUUUUUUCUUAUUUUACGUGAUAACAUCAGUGAGACGUCCUUCUCUUUUUUUUGUUGCGAUCUAGCAGUGUCAGUGCGACACUCAAUCAUUUAUUAUUUUACCCGGUUAAGUGCCAAAAGCGUGGCAGUGUCACUACGACGUUAUAAUCAGCCGAAUUAAUUAUUUGUUUUCAGCUAUAUUCAGUAUAUUUUCAGCUAUAUUUAGUUUAUUCUCAGUUUAUAUUCAGUCCAUUUUUUGUUUAUGUUCAGUGAUAUGUAACGGCGUGAAAAACCAGAAUUUGUAGCAAUAAAAAGCAUUUUAAUACAUGUAAAUAAAGGAUUUCAUACUUCCAAUAUUACCGGAAGAAAUUCGUCAAAACCAGGAGGAAUUUUAUCAUGCUGCAAAAUUUAUUCGUGUCAUCGGCUAUAUGGAUUGUACACAUGUAAAACUACAAUCAUGUGGUGGAAAAGAGAAUUAAUUAUUCCACAAUAGAAAAGGCUGGUUUUCUGUUAUUGUACAAGUUGUUAUUAAUGCAAGAUUAGAAAUUAUAUAUAUUGUGACACGUUGGCCAGGAUCUACGCAUGAUUUCACUAUUUUUGAUCAUUCCAAGUUAAAAACUUUGUUUGAAACAGGCACGUUCGGUGACAGUGUAGCAGAUUCUGGAUAUCCAAAUCUGCCAUAUAUUAUGUGUCCAUUGCAAGAUCCGACAGCAACUGCAGAGCAUCUAUACAAUGAAUUUCAAAUUAGAACUCGCUAAAAAAUUGAACGUUUUUUUGGUAUUUGGAAAAGGAGAUUUCCAGUUCUGUCUAUUGGAACACGUUUUUUUACCUGAGAGAGUGCUUCCUGUUAUUAUUGCAACAGCAGUUUUGCAUAACAUUAUGCAACAGAAUAUAGAAAAGAUUAGGACUGAUCCCGAAGCAUAUAAUAAUGCUAUUGCAUUAGUGCAAAACAUAAAUUAUAGAGAUGUCACUAAUGUGCGACAUACAAUAGUCAAAUAUUUUGAAAGGUAAUAGUAAAAAUUAAUCAGAAAAAUAUGUACUUUAAUACUAUAUAAUUAAGUUUUUUUAAUAAUAACAGGUUAAUUUAAAACAUUUGAAAUGUUUAAAGACACAAUAAGUAUUUGAGGAAGGAUCUCAACUCAUGAAUAAGUCAAUUAAUAUAAGUGAGACAAGCAUUUUACCUAAUAAGAACUUAUUAACUCAUUAAUUGGACUGGUGCAUUAAUAAAUAAUUUAACUCAUCGAAA